RNAcentral lists this ribosomal RNA (240 nucleotides) under Bacillus sp. (in: firmicutes). RNAcentral describes it as "Bacillus sp. (in: Bacteria) partial 16S ribosomal RNA". It matches the Rfam family "Bacterial small subunit ribosomal RNA", at positions 556 to 796 of the family's 1533-position model. The record is from RNAcentral. Lineage: Bacteria; Bacillati; Bacillota; Bacilli; Caryophanales; Bacillaceae.
GGGCGUAAGGGCUCGCAGGCGGUUUCUUAAGUCUGAUGUGAAAGCCCCCGGCUCAACCGGGGAGGGUCAUUGGAAACUGGGGAACUUGAGUGCAGAAGAGGAGAGUGGAAUUCCACGUGUAGCGGUGAAAUGCGUAGAGAUGUGGAGGAACACCAGUGGCGAAGGCGACUCUCUGGUCUGUAACUGACGCUGAGGAGCGAAAGCGUGGGGAGCGAACAGGAUUAGAUACCCCCGUAGUCC